RNAcentral lists this ribosomal RNA (406 nucleotides) under uncultured bacterium. RNAcentral describes it as "partial 16S ribosomal RNA". It matches the Rfam family "Bacterial small subunit ribosomal RNA", at positions 29 to 526 of the family's 1533-position model. The record is from RNAcentral.
AUUGAACGCUGUCGGCAGGCUUAACACAUGCAAGUCUAGCGAGUGGCGGACGGGUGAGUAAUGUCUGGGAAACUGCCUGAUGGAGGGGGAUAACUACUGGCAACGGUAGCUAAUACCGCAUACCCUCAGAUGUGCCCAGAUGGGAGUAGCUAGUAGGUGGGGUAAUGGCGCACCUAGGCGACGAUCCCUAGCGGGUCUGAGAGGAUGACCAGCGACACGGGAACUGAGCCACGGUCCGGACGCCUACGGGAGGCAGCAGUGGGGAAUAUUGCACAAGGGGCGCAAGCCUGAUGCAGCCAUGCCGCGUGUGUGAAGAAGGCCUUCGGGUUGUAAAGCACUUUCAGCGAGGAGGCGUUACUCGCAGAAGAAGCACCGGCUAACUCCGGGCCAGCCGCCGCGGUAAUAC